This is a non-coding RNA of Microcebus murinus (gray mouse lemur), 4677 nucleotides long. Lineage: Eukaryota; Metazoa; Chordata; Mammalia; Primates; Cheirogaleidae. The record is from RefSeq and is a predicted model, not a curated record.
UCUUUAGUCCUCUACAAACUGGGUAUUAAAUAAAAUUGUAGGCUAAAAUAACGUCAAAGAAAGGAAUAAAUGAAAUCCUGCCUGCAAGGCAGUGCCUGACAGAUGACACAUACUCUGAUGUUCACUACGAUUAUCCCACGGAAUAAGGUAUAUGGCCUGUGUUUUUAAUUUUUUUAAAUAUUGUUUUUCCUUUCGGUUUAGCAAUCCCUGAGAUGGAGUACUCAUUCACCCCUGCCCUAAAUAAAAAUCACAAGCCGGGCAUCUCACAGCAAGUCACUACCUAACAGCAAAAGUGCUGUGGUGACACAGGUCUAUGGAUGACUAAACAGGGGAGGCUGCCUGGGUUGGUCCCAGUCUAAGUGACUCAAGGGAGACCUGAUUUGCAUUAAUAAUCUGAACAGUAAUGAAACAGUUAAGUGAAAAAAUGGACUGGAAAUGUUUUCGACUGCAUCAGAAACACUUGGAGAGAAUCUUAAGUCAGCCCUGUGUACAGAUGUGCUAUGAGGAAAGGCCUUGGAUUUUGCUCCCCGCCUGCCCAGGCCCUUCCUAGCUGCCCUGUGCCUAGUGCUGCCCCGGGGUGAGCCUGUAGAAGCCGUGUUCCUUGUGCAUGCGCCAGACUACAGGAAGGACACGGGCCAACUGGGACCCAGGUUCGUGCAGGAUGCAGAGAUGGGAGCUGGGCCUCAGAGAGCUGGUCGGCAGGCUGGCCAGCUCAGGUGCCACCACGGUAACUAUGGGAGGAACCCCCUGGGGCUGGUCGGAGAGGGCUCCUGUAGGACAGGUGGGGGAAGACCCAGCAUCACUAGAGACGCACACACCUCGGGAGACAACAACAAACCCUAUGACUCACAUCCGAAGCUUCCCCUCAGAAAACAUCAACAGGAGUCGUCACUGAUCCAAGGGAGGGACACACAGGCCCCUCCCCGGCAGCUCUCCAGGAAGCCCCAUUCACCACAAGCCCCACGCCCUGGGGAGCUCAUGCCCUGGGGAGCUCUGAGCCGCAGCCCAGGCCGUCCCGCCUCCCACGGGCCAGGGUGGACCCUGACUCUACCUACCUGGGCUUCACCUGACCCUUCCCUCAGGGACCUUCAGAGAGACACAGUGCACACCCACACGCAAGUGUGUACACACGUACACACACACACACACACACACACACACACACACACACACACAAACAUACAGACGCUUGUUCUAACUCCGCCCUCUCUAAUCCUUAAUCACCCCAGGGCUUGGUUUUCAAAUGGCAACUAGGCCAGUUAUCGGGUGGUUCAUUUAGGUCCAUUGUAAAGAAUUUCUUUUAAAACUAAAAUUCUGAGGUGCUCCUUUAAACAUCACUACUAAAUCUUAAAAUAAUUAUUGUGCUUAGACCUUAAUCCUGUUAAAACUAAAUGAUGUAGAGACUAAUACAAACAUUAUUUUCCUUACAGAUUUAAAACAAUCAGAAAUUGAGUUAGAAAUGAAUGCUGUCUGAAGACCAUGCUCAGUGUGAUCACGUCUACAACGUGACACACAGAAGCGGCACUGCGUCUCUAAUUCCAUUCUGAGGGAGCAAAACAAUGUUAGUUUAUGAAAAACUGAUGAUUUAUGAACUUAAAUACAGCAAAUCAGAAACAAAUGACUAUAACCUAAAAAUAUUUAAAAGGGCUUUACAGAAUGCUACUUUUUUAUAUAUAUACACAUACACAACCACAUGAAUAUGUUUUUAAAUUUGGUGGUAAAUUCUGGGGAAAGGGACUUCUACUUCUUAUUUAGCCCUUACUGCAUUGCUUGAAAAUUUUUUGAAAGAGUAGCUAUUGGUUUUCUAAUUUGAAAAAUUAACCCAAUAAAUAUUAUUUUCAAAAAGAAACAAAUUUCAUCUUCACUUGUGAGUAGUACAGGGCAGCCAGACCUCUUGGAUUCAAUUUAAGCUCUUCCACUAAGUUAAGUUAGCUGUGAGAACCUGGGGGCAGCAGGUGCUCCCCGACUGCAGAAAGGUAGUGGUGGCAGAGCCUCCACCUGCCUGCUGGGGGUCGAGUCAAGCAAUGCACCUGCACCAGGCCUGCUCAACGCUCCUCCUAGGGCAGGCUGUCAGGAGCAGGUCUGUACCGGAAGUUUCUAGCCAAGAUGCAAUCAAUGUUCCUUUAUUUUUUAUUUAUUUAUGACAAUCUGUGGGCUGCAUGUCAAAUCUUGUUAUGUGAAUAUAACAUGCAGCGAUCAACUUGGGGUAUUUAGGGUGUCCACCACCCACGUGCAAUACAUUUGUGUUAAGUGUCAUCACCCUACUCUGCUCUCCAACACUGACACCUACUUCUGUCUUGCUGUGUCUUUGGCCACUUCUCUCCAUCCUCCCCUUAUGCCCCGCUCAGCUGUCCCAGUUUCUUAUCUCUACUUUUUUUGGAAAUGAGAAACAGCAGGAAGAGGUACAGGCUGGAUGGGUUUGUUUACAUCAGGAAAACAGCUCUGCGUGCUAAGGAAGACCAUCCCCAUGAGAAGACUGAGUAUCUCAGGGAUAUCUCCUAAUGCUGGACCUUGGAACUCUGAGAGCAGCAACUGUGCCGUGGUCACCUGCAGACCUAACCCUCACUUCCAGAACAAACGGCUCUGCAUGUGCCUACACAGCAGGAGGGACACCGCCCUGCACCUUGCCUUAGCUGCCACUGAGCUGAACACUCCUGCACCCCCACCACUCUCUGCUCCCUGUCCAACUACACCCCAGAAAAUCAUGCCCAAAGUGCUACAAGAAUUUAUGAAAAGCCAUACGAGUCAUGUGUACUUGGGCUCUCUUUGUGCCUUCGCCUAGUAGAAUAAGCUUUCUUACAUUUCUUCAUCUAGUAGAACAGUCAUGUUGGCUGUCUCAUUCCCAGUUGUGACUGGUGCUGCAACAGACAUCCACGCCAUUCCCAAGUCACCCUUUAAUGCUCUGACAGACGUCCACACUGUUCCCAAGUCAGCCUUUAAGGGGCUCUGUCUUUCCCACAUGAAGUGUCAGGCUAAAGGUGAGCAUUUUCCAGUUUGGAAGAGGUUCAUAGCAUAAAAAUAGCAAGUAAGAAACACAUAACUUGAUCUGUUUUUCAUAUUCCAUUUAUAGCUUACAUCUUCCAAUAUUGUUAAUUUAAGAUCAAAAUAAAAUAAAUAGAAGGACUAAGAACAAGGCAACCAGAGAAAGGGCUGCUCUGUUUUCAAACUACACAUGCCCAGGGAGCCUCUCCCUCCCGCUGGGAACCAGCGAACCAAACAUCUGGAUGUGAUCACUUCCACCCUGCUUGUCUGUGACCGGCAGUUUAAUUCUGCACAAAUGUCAAAAAACGCCUGUCGCACAAACCUCACUGCCUGAACUAAAAUUUACAACCUACAGCCACUCACUUAUUCAACUAGAUGAAAACAAAAGCACCAACCUAACAAGUAUGCUUAAUUACAGAUACAAUUUAAACUGUAAGAACUGAAGAAUUAUACAAGUUGCUUAAUGGGGUAGAGUCAAUUGUAAUAUCUGAUUAUAAUAAAUAAUACAUAAUUAGCAGCAACAUCAUGUUCUCUGUUUUCCACCUGUCAUCUCCAAAUUUAUUUUGGCCCAGUGGAUGAAAACUGCUUCCAACACAGAUCCAGCAGGUCUAGUCUCCUCUAUCCAAAUACCAAGGGGGUAAGCAGUCCAAAAUAGCAAUUAGUUCCAAAUUUAGGAGCAAGAGGAAGAAGGAAACUAGAGCACAUUUUCAACCAGUAAGUGUUAAUGCAACGCUCCAGCAGGCAGCAACGGCACAACUACUCACUGAGCAAUCGCAGCUGCAAGUUGAGUACAGCGUCACAGUGCUCCACAGCCCAGACUGUCUUGUUUCCAGCCUGCCUUAUGAGCACAGAUGCGGGAACACCCUCUGAUUUGUUCAGGACCACGUGGGCUGAAUAACCAGGCGGCUUUAUAAGGCACACUACAAUUCCCUGGACUCUGGUUCACCCUGAAGCAUGAGCACACUGAAGGAUGUGGUGUCACCCUGUCACCACCUCUCCUAAAACAUUGCAUGGCAUUUACUAUUCAUUUAAAGCCCAUUUACAUUGGCUUUAUUUUCAGAAUCUGGAAACACUAUUAAGUGGACUGUUCAGGAGAUCAUUUGAUUAUCAUAAAUUCAGGAUCAGAAACAAUGGUUGUGACCUGACAACACACUCCAUAAAAUACCAGCAUUCUUUGGAAACAGGUCACCCAUGAAUUUCCAGUUAAAAAUGAUGUAUUGAACAUAGAUGUUAGCUUUCAGUCUCUUGCAGGCACCCCUUUGAAAAGGGGUUACUUUUUAAAGGCAUAUAUUAAUGAGAGCACAAAGGGAGAGAAUAGAAUAGCAAAAAACUUCUGGAAGCUAGACAGAAGAAUGAAAACUGACUCAGGCCAGAAAAAUGUGAAUUGUAAACCUGCAAUGGGACCGAUGAGACACAAUCUAAUUUUCAUCAUGGAACCCUCAAAAGGCUCAAGAAUUAGUGGCACCUGUGUACAUUUGGAAGUAAAAGUGUAAGAUAGAACCAAGAUACAGGAGGAAUUGAAUACUGAAAGUCUGUUUAAGCAGCAGUUAGGUAAUACCACAUGAUCAUCUCAAUUGGUGCAGAAAAAACACCUAGCAAACCCCAACACCUUUCAUGAUGAAAACACUCAACAAACUAGGAAAAGAAGGGAACUUCCUCCACACGAUAAAGAACAUCUAUGAAAAAAAUCUACAG